This 174-nucleotide small RNA is filed under the name Herbaspirillum sp. BH-1. RNAcentral describes it as "yybP-ykoY leader". The record is from RNAcentral. Lineage: Bacteria; Pseudomonadati; Pseudomonadota; Betaproteobacteria; Burkholderiales; Oxalobacteraceae.
CCGGGCUUCUCUUUGGGGAGUAGCCAGCUUCCGGGUCAUCCGGAAGAGCCCGUGUCAACAUUCUCGGCAACAUCUUGCCGUGGCGCGGGUAGCCAAUCAGGUAGGCGAGACCAUAGACGUAUCCUGCGGCCAGGCUGGGCGCGCAGGCACGUCCAUGGACUUCGCCCGGCCAAG